AGCACCAUGGACCAGUAGGAACUAUAGCUGUCUGUUAACAGGUACUGAACCACACAGAGUCACUAACAGCACCAUGGACCAGUAGGAACUAUAGCUGUCUGUUAACAGGUACUGAACCACACAGAGUCACUAACAGCACCAUGGACCAGUAGGAACUAUAGCUGUCUGUUAACAGGUACUGAACCACACAGAGUCACUAACAGCACCAUGGACCAGUAGGAACUAUAGCUGUCUGUUAACAGGUACUGAACCACACAGAGUCACUAACAGCACCAUGGACCAGUAGGAACUAUAGCUGUCUGUUAACAGGUACUGAACCACACAGAGUCACUAACAGCACCAUGGACCAGUAGGAACUAUAGCUGUCUGUUAACAGGUACUGAACCACACAGAGUCACUAACAGCACCAUGGACCAGUAGGAACUAUAGCUGUCUGUUAACAGGUACUGAACCACACAGAGUCACUAACAGCACCAUGGACCAGUAGGAACUAUAGCUGUCUGUUAACAGGUACUGAACCACACAGAGUCACUAACAGCACCAUGGACCAGUAGGAACUAUAGCUGUCUGUUAACAGGUACUGAACCACACAGAGUCACUAACAGCACCAUGGACCAGUAGGAACUAUAGCUGUCUGUUAACAGGUACUGAACCACACAGAGUCACUAACAGCACCAUGGACCAGUAGGAACUAUAGCUGUCUGUUAACAGGUACUGAACCACACAGAGUCACUAACAGCACCAUGGACCAGUAGGAACUAUAGCUGUCUGUUAACAGGUACUGAACCACACAGAGUCACUAACAGCACCAUGGACCAGUAGGAACUAUAGCUGUCUGUUAACAGGUACUGAACCACACAGAGUCACUAACAGCACCAUGGACCAGUAGGAACUAUAGCUGUCUGUUAACAGGUACUGAACCACACAGAGUCACUAACAGCACCAUGGACCAGUAGGAACUAUAGCUGUCUGUUAACAGGUACUGAACCACACAGAGUCACUAACAGCACCAUGGACCAGUAGGAACUAUAGCUGUCUGUUAACAGGUACUGAACCACACAGAGUCACUAACAGCACCAUGGACCAGUAGGAACUAUAGCUGUCUGUUAACAGGUACUGAACCACACAGAGUCACUAACAGCACCAUGGACCAGUAGGAACUAUAGCUGUCUGGCUCCUUCUAUUUGACAUGGGUUCAAUGGUGACCUCUGUGUGACCCUGCGAUGGGAACAGUGGACUGUCACACCCAUCCUGAACACUGUGUUGCACACAGGCUUCGUCCCAAACAGAACCCUAUUGAGGGAAUAGACUGUAUUAGACCAGGGUACUAUGGAGGGAAUAGACUGUACUAUGGAGGGAAUAGACUGCAUUAGACCAGGGUACUAUGGAGGGAAUAGACUGUAUUAGACCAGGGCACUAUGGAGGGAAUAGACUGUACUAUGGAGGGAAUAGACUGCAUUAGACCAGGGUACUAUGGAGGGAAUAGACUGUACUAUGGAGGGAAUAGACUGCAUUAGACCAGGGUACUAUGGAGGGAAUAGACUGUAUUAGACCAGGGCACUAUGGAGGGAAUAGACUGCACUAUGGAGGGAAUAGACUGUAUUAGACCAGGGUACUAUGGAGGGAAUAGACUGCACUAUGGAGGGAAUAGACUGCAUUAGACCAGGGCACUAUGGAGGGAAUAGACUGUACUAUGGAGGGAAUAGACUGUAUUAGACCAGGGCACUAUGGAGGGAAUAGACUGCACUAUGGAGGGAAUAGACUGCAUUAGACCAGGGCACUAUGGAGGGAAUAGACUGUACUAUGGAGGGAAUAGACUGUAUUAGACCAGGGCACUAUGGAGGGAAUAGACUGCAUUAGACCAGGGCACUAUGGAGGGAAUAGACUGUAUUAGACCAGGGCACUAUGGAGGGAAUAGACUGUACUAUGGAGGGAAUAGACUGUAUUAGACCAGGGCACUAUGGAGGGAAUAGACUGCAUUAGACCAGGGCACUAUGGAGGGAAUAGACUGCAUUAGACCAGGGCACUAUGGAGGGAAUAGACUGUAUUAGACCAGGGCACUAUGGAGGGAAUAGACUGCAUUAGACCAGGGCACUAUGGAGGGAAUAGACUGCAUUAGACCAGGACACUAUGGAGGGAAUAGACUGUAUUAGACCAGGGCACUAUGGAGGGAAUAGACUGCACUAUGGAGGGAAUAGACUGCAUUAGACCAGGACCCAUAGGGUAGGGCACUAUGGAGGGAGUAGGCUGCAUUAGACCAGGACCCAUAGGGUAGGGCACUAUGGAGGGAAUAGACUGUAUUAGACCAGGGCACUAUGGAGGGAAUAGACUGCAUUAGACCAGGGUACUAUGGAGGGAAUAGACUGUAUUAGACCAGGACACUAUGGAGGGAAUAGACUGCAUUAGACCAGGGCACUAUGGAGGGAAUAGACUGCAUUAGACCAGGGCACUAUGGAGGGAAUAGACUGCAUUAGACCAGGACACUAUGGAGGGAAUAGACUGUAUUAGACCAGGGCACUAUGGAGGGAAUAGACUGCAUUAGACCAGGGCACUAUGGAGGAAAUAGACUGUAUUAGACCAGGGCACUAUGGAGGGAAUAGACUGCAUUAGACCAGGGCACUAUGGAGGGAAUAGACUGCAUUAGACCAGUGCACUAUGGAGGGAAUAGACUGCAUUAGACCAGGGCACUAUGGAGGGAAUAGACUGCAUUAGACCAGGGCACUAUGGAGGGAUUAGACUGCAUUAGACCAGGACACUAUGGAGGGAAUAGACUGUAUUAGACCAGGGCACUAUGGAGGGAAUAGACUGCACUAUGGAGGGAAUAGACUGCAUUAGACCAGGACCCAUAGGGUAGGGCACUAUGGAGGGAGUAGGCUGCAUUAGACCAGGACCCAUAGGGUAGGGCACUAUGGAGGGAAUAGACUGUAUUAGACCAGGGCACUAUGGAGGGAAUAGACUGCAUUAGACCAGGGUACUAUGGAGGGAAUAGACUGUAUUAGACCAGGACACUAUGGAGGGAAUAGACUGCAUUAGACCAGGGCACUAUGGAGGGAAUAGACUGCAUUAGACCAGGGCACUAUGGAGGGAAUAGACUGCAUUAGACCAGGACACUAUGGAGGGAAUAGACUGUAUUAGACCAGGGCACUAUGGAGGGAAUAGACUGCAUUAGACCAGGGCACUAUGGAGGGAAUAGACUGUAUUAGACCAGGGCACUAUGGAGGGAAUAGACUGCAUUAGACCAGGGCACUAUGGAGGGAAUAGACUGUAUUAGACCAGGGCACUAUGGAGGGAAUAGACUGCAUUAGACCAGGGCACUAUGGAGGGAAUAGACUGCAUUAGACCAGGGCACUAUGGAGGGAAUAGACUAUAUUAGACCAGGGCACGAUGGAGGGAAUAGACUGUAUUAGACCAGGGCACUAUGGAGGGAAUAGACUGUAUUAGACCAGGGCACUAUGGAGGGAAUAGACUGUAUUAGACCAGGGCACUAUGGAGGGAUUAGACUGUAUUAGACCAGGGCACUAUGGAGGGAAUAGACUGCACUAUGGAGGGAAUAGACUGUAUUAGACCAGGACAGUAUGGAGGGAAUAGACUGCAUUAGACCAGGGCACGAUGGAGGGAAUAUACUUUAUUAGACCAGGGCACUAUGGAGGGAAUAGACUGCACUAUGGAGGGAAUAGACUGCACUAUGGAGGGAAUAGACUGCACUAUGGAGGGAAUAUACUUUAUUAGACCAGGGCACUAUGGAGGGAAUAGACUGCACUAUGGAGGGAAUAGACUGUAUUAGACCAGGACAGUAUGGAGGGAAUAGACUGCACUAUGGAGGGAAUAGACUGCACUAUGGAGGGAAUAUACUUUAUUAGACCAGGGCACUAUGGAGGGAAUAGACUGCACUAUGGAGGGAAUAUACUUUAUUAGACCAGGGCACUAUGGAGGGAAUAGACUGCACUAUGGAGGGAAUAGACUGUAUUAGACCAGGACAGUAUGGAGGGAAUAGACUGCAUUAGACCAGGGCACGAUGGAGGGAAUAUACUUUAUUAGACCAGGGCACUAUGGAGGGACUAGACUGCCAUUUUGAGAUACAUUAACCUACUGUUGAGGAACCACCCCGACCUGACAUCUCUCUCUUCCUCUCCUCCCCUCCCUCUUCCCUCCUCUCUCCUCCCUCCUCUCUCCU
Long non-coding RNA from Oncorhynchus keta (chum salmon), 4174 nucleotides. RefSeq lists it as uncharacterized. The record is from RefSeq and is a predicted model, not a curated record. The transcript has 3 exons. NCBI's taxonomy places the organism in Eukaryota, Metazoa, Chordata, Actinopteri, Salmoniformes, Salmonidae.